Molecule: long non-coding RNA, 444 nt
Filed under: Trifolium pratense (red clover)
Lineage: Eukaryota; Viridiplantae; Streptophyta; Magnoliopsida; Fabales; Fabaceae
Description: long non-coding RNA (TPRA_LNC013650)
Source: RNAcentral
CUUCAUUUACCGUUGUAUGUCAACAUCCCAUGAUGACAAAGAGAUUGUUGACAACAACAGCAAUCAUCGUUGAUUCUUCAUCUUUUGCUCAGAGAAUCAGAGAUUUACCAAAAGAUCUUCCUAGUACCAACAUAAAAAAACAUGUUUCUCAGGUAACUUAACUCUCUAAUUUUUCUAGAUCUUGAAUCUANNNNNNNNNNNNNNNNNUAUUAAUUCCCUGUGUUAAAAGUUUAAAUUUCCCUGUGUUAAAGUCUACCAGAAGACAACUAAUAAUAACGGUAGAAAUUUCGUAUUAAUAUCAUGAUAAUAAUAACAAUAAUAAUAAAUAAAAGACGACAACUUACAACUUUAUUGUAUUUGCUAGUAAUUGCCCUCUUAAAUACUCUCUCCAAAAAAUUAAUUUUUCAGAUUUAUUGAAUAAUUAAUGUAUCUAAUUUAUGAUAU